AGUUAGUGGCGGACGGGUGAGUAACGCGUGGAAAACCUGCCGUAUACUGGGGGAUAACACUUAGAAAUAGGUGCUAAUACCGCAUAAGCGCACGGCUUCGCAUGAAGCGGUGUGAAAAACUCUGGUGGUAUACGAUGGUUCCGCGUCUGAUUAGCUAGUUGGUGGGGUAAUGGCCUACCAAGGCAACGAUCAGUAGCCGGCCUGAGAGGGGUGAACGGCCACAUUGGGACUGAGACACGGCCCAAACUCCUACGGGAGGCAGCAG
This 265-nucleotide ribosomal RNA is filed under the name uncultured bacterium. RNAcentral's name for it is "partial 16S ribosomal RNA". It matches the Rfam family "Bacterial small subunit ribosomal RNA", at positions 90 to 354 of the family's 1533-position model. The record is from RNAcentral.